RNAcentral lists this ribosomal RNA (486 nucleotides) under uncultured bacterium. Its description in RNAcentral is "bacterial SSU rRNA". It matches the Rfam family "Bacterial small subunit ribosomal RNA", at positions 30 to 507 of the family's 1533-position model. The record is from RNAcentral.
AUUGAACGCUGGCGGCAGGCCUAACACAUGCAAGUCGAGCGGUAACAGGAGAGCUUGCUCUCGCUGACGAGCGGCGGACGGGUGAGUAACGCGUAGGAAUCUACCCAGUAGCGGGGGAUAGCCCGGGGAAACUCGGAUUAAUACCGCAUACGCCCCAAGGGGGAAAGCAGGGGAUCUUCGGACCUUGCACUAUUGGAAGAGCCUGCGUUGGAUUAGCUAGUUGGUAGGGUAAAGGCCUACCAAGGCGACGAUCCAUAACUGGUCUGAGAGGAUGAUCAGUCACACCGGAACUGAGACACGGUCCGGACUCCUACGGGAGGCAGCAGUGGGGAAUAUUGGACAAUGGGGGCAACCCUGAUCCAGCCAUGCCGCGUGUGUGAAGAAGGCCUUCGGGUUGUAAAGCACUUUAAGUAGGGAAAAAGGCUCGCUGGCUAAUAUCCAGCGGGAUUGAUACUACCUACAGAAUAAGCACCGGCUAACUCUGUG